UGGGGAAUAUUGCACAAUGGGGGGAAACCCUGAUGCAGCGACGCCGCGUGAAGGAAGAAGUAUCUCGGUAUGUAAAACUUCUAUCAGCAGGGAAGGAUAAGUGACGGUACCUGACUAAGAAGCCCCGGCUAACUACGUGCC
Molecule: ribosomal RNA, 141 nt
Filed under: uncultured bacterium
Lineage: Bacteria
Description: partial 16S ribosomal RNA
Rfam family: Bacterial small subunit ribosomal RNA
Source: RNAcentral